UACGUAGGGGGCAAGCGUUGUCCGGAUUUAUUGGGCGUAAAGGGCGUGUAGGCGGCCAGGUAGGUCUGCUGUGAAAACUCGAGGCUUAACCUCGAGCUGUCGGCGGAAACCAUCUGGCUAGAGUCCGGAAGAGGAGAAUGGAAUUCCCGGUGUAGCGGUGAAAUGCGCAGAUAUCAUGUGGAACGCCAAUGGUGAAAACAGGUAACUGGGAGUGUGCUGACGCUGAGACACGAAAGCUAGGGGAGCAAACGGG
This 253-nucleotide ribosomal RNA is filed under the name uncultured bacterium. Its description in RNAcentral is "partial 16S ribosomal RNA". It matches the Rfam family "Bacterial small subunit ribosomal RNA", at positions 524 to 776 of the family's 1533-position model. The record is from RNAcentral.